Non-coding RNA from Salmo salar (Atlantic salmon), 54 nucleotides. Lineage: Eukaryota; Metazoa; Chordata; Actinopteri; Salmoniformes; Salmonidae. The record is from Rfam.
GAAUGUAUUAAAUGUAAGUCGCUCUAGAUAAGAGCGUCUGCUAAAUGACUAGAA